CCAACAGGGAUUGCCCUAGUAACGGCGAGUGAAGCGGCAACAGCUCAAAUUUGAAAUCUGGCUUUCGGGCCCGAGUUGUAAUUUGUAGAGGAUACUUUUGAUGCGGUGCCUUCCGAGUUCCCUGGAACGGGACGCCAUAGAGGGUGAGAGCCCCGUCUGGUUGGAUGCCAAAUCUCUGUAAAGUUCCUUCGACGAGUCGAGUAGUUUGGGAAUGCUGCUCUAAAUGGGAGGUAUAUGUCUUCUAAAGCUAAAUAUUGGCCAGAGACCGAUAGCGCACAAGUAGAGUGAUCGAAAGAUGAAAAGCACUUUGAAAAGAGAGUUAAAAAGUACGUGAAAUUGUUGAAAGGGAAGCGUUUAUGACCAGACUUGGACUUGGUUAAUCAUCUGGGGUUCUCUCCAGUGCACUUUUCCAGUUCAGGCCAGCAUCAGUUUUCGCCGGGGGAUAAAGGCAGCGGGAAUGUGGCUCUCUUCGGGGAGUGUUAUAGCCCGCUGUGUAAUACCCUGGUGGGGACUGAGGUUCGCGCUUCUGCAAGGAUGCUGGCGUAAUGGUCAUCAACGACCCGUCUUGAAACACGGACCAAGGAGUCGUCUUCGUAUGCGAGUGUUCGGGUGUCAAACCCCUACGCGUAAUGAAAGUGAACGCAGGUGAGAGCUUCGGCGCAUCAUCGACCGAUCCUGAUGUUCUCGGAUGGAUUUGAGUAAGAGCAUACGGGGCCGGACCCGAAAGAAGGUGAACUAUGCCUGUAUAGGGUGAAGCCAGAGGAAACUCUGGUGGAGGCUCGCAGCGGUUCUGACGUGCAAAUCGAUCGUCAAAUAUGGGCAUGGGGGCGAAAGACUAAUCGA
Molecule: ribosomal RNA, 843 nt
Filed under: Fusarium tricinctum
Lineage: Eukaryota; Fungi; Ascomycota; Sordariomycetes; Hypocreales; Nectriaceae
Description: eukaryotic LSU rRNA
Rfam family: Eukaryotic large subunit ribosomal RNA
Source: RNAcentral